AGUGAACGCUGGCGGUAGGCCUAACACAUGCAAGUCGAACGGCAGCACAGUAAGAGCUUGCUCUUACGGGUGGCGAGUGGCGGACGGGUGAGGAAUACAUCGGAAUCUACUUUUUCGUGGGGGAUAACGUAGGGAAACUUACGCUAAUACCGCAUACGACCUACGGGUGAAAGCAGGGGAUCUUCGGACCUUGCGCGAUUGAAUGAGCCGAUGUCGGAUUAGCUAGUUGGCGGGGUAAAGGCCCACCAAGGCGACGAUCCGUAGCUGGUCUGAGAGGAUGAUCAGCCACACUGGACCUGAGACACGGUCCAGACUCCUACGGGAGGCAGCAGUGGGGAAUAUUGGACAAUUGGCGCAAGCCUGAUCCAGCCAUACCGCGUGGGUGAAGAAGGCCUUCGGGUUGUAAAGCCCUUUUGUUGGGAAAGAAAAGCAGCAGGUUAAUACCCCGCUGUUCUGACGGUACCCAAAGAAUAAGCACCGGCUAACUUCGUG
This 492-nucleotide ribosomal RNA is filed under the name uncultured bacterium. RNAcentral's name for it is "partial 16S ribosomal RNA". It matches the Rfam family "Bacterial small subunit ribosomal RNA", at positions 29 to 507 of the family's 1533-position model. The record is from RNAcentral.